RNAcentral lists this ribosomal RNA (1024 nucleotides) under uncultured Acidobacteriota bacterium. RNAcentral's name for it is "bacterial SSU rRNA". It matches the Rfam family "Bacterial small subunit ribosomal RNA", at positions 44 to 1096 of the family's 1533-position model. Lineage: Bacteria; Pseudomonadati; Acidobacteriota. The record is from RNAcentral.
AGGCCUAACACAUGCAAGUCGAACGAGAAAGCAGGAGCAAUCUUGUGAGUAAAGUGGCGUACGGGUGAGUAACACGUGGAUUAUCUACCUUCUAGUGGGGGAUAACCCUGGGAAACCGGGGCUAAUACCGCAUAAGCUCGAGAGAGGAAAGCAGCAAUGCGCUGGAAGAGGAGUCCGCGGCCGAUUAGCUAGUUGGUAGGGUAAAAGCCUACCAAGGCUACGAUCGGUAGCCGGCCUGAGAGGGCACACGGCCACACUGGCACUGAAACACGGGCCAGACUCCUACGGGAGGCAGCAGUGGGGAAUCUUGCACAAUGGGGGCAACCCUGAUGCAGCGACGCCGCGUGAGCGAUGAAGCCCUUCGGGGUGUAAAGCUCUUUCGGCAGGGAAGAUUAUGACGGUACCUGCAGAAGCAGCUGCGGCUAACUACGUGCCAGCAGCCGCGGUAAUACGUAGGCAGCAAGCGUUGUUCGGAGUUACUGGGCGUAAAGGGCGUGUAGGCGGUUCUCUAAGUCUGGUGUGAAAUCUCCCGGCUCAACUGGGAGGGUGCGCCGAAAACUGGAGGACUAGAGUGCGGGAUGGGAGAGUGGAAUUCCUGGUGUAGCGGUGAAAUGCGUAGAUAUCAGGAGGAACACCUGUGGUGUAGACGGCUCUCUGGACCGCAACUGACGCUGAGACACGAAAGCGUGGGUAGCAAACAGGAUUAGAUACCCUGGUAGUCCACGCCCUAAACGAUGCAUAUUUGGUGUGGGCCAUUCAUUUGGUCUGUGCCGGAGCUAACGCGUUAAAUAUGCCGCCUGGGGAGUACGGUCGCAAGGCUGAAACUNCAAAGGAAUUGACGGGGGCCCGCACAAGCGGUGGAGCAUGUGGUUCAAUUCGACGCAACGCGAAGAACCUUACCUGGGCUCGAACGGCUCACGAACGUCCUUGGAAACAGGGAUUUCCCGCAAGGGACGGGAGUCGAGGUGCUGCAUGGCUGUCGUCAGCUCGUGUCGUGAGAUGUUGGGGUAAGUCCCGCAACGAG